UGCAGUCGAACGGCAGCAUAGGUGCUUGCACCUGAUGGCGAGUGGCGAACGGGUGAGUAAUGCAUCGGAACGUGCCCAAUCGUGGGGGAUAACGCAGCGAAAGCUGUGCUAAUACCGCAUACGAUCUACGGAUGAAAGCGGGGGACCUUCGGGCCUCGCGCGAUUGGAGCGGCCGAUGUUAGAUUAGGUAGUUGGUGGGGUAAAGGCUCACCAAGCCGACGAUCUAUAGCUGGUCUGAGAGGACGACCAGCCACACUGGAACUGAGACACGGUCCAGACUCCUACGGGAGGCAGCAGUGGGGAAUUUUGGACAAUGGGCGAAAGCCUGAUCCAGCAAUACCGCGUGCAGGAAGAAGGCCUUCGGGUUGUAAACUGCUUUUGUACGGAACGAAAAGGCUCUUUCUAAUAAAGAGGGCUCAUGACGGUACCGUAAGAAUAAGCACCGGCUAACUACGUGCCAGCAGCCGCGGUAAUACGUAGGGUGCAAGCGUUAAUCGGAAUUACUGGGCGUAAAGCGUGCGCAGGCGGUUUUGUAAGACAGGCGU
RNAcentral lists this ribosomal RNA (545 nucleotides) under uncultured bacterium. Its description in RNAcentral is "bacterial SSU rRNA". It matches the Rfam family "Bacterial small subunit ribosomal RNA", at positions 56 to 595 of the family's 1533-position model. The record is from RNAcentral.